GACGAACGCUGGCGGCGUGCUUAACACAUGCAAGUCGAACGGAAAGGCCCUGCUCUUGUGGGGUGCUCGAGUGGCGAACGGGUGAGUAACACGUGAGUAACCUGCCCUUGACUUUGGGAUAACUUCAGGAAACUGGGGCUAAUACCGGAUAGGAGCUCCUGCUGCAUGGUGGGGGUUGGAAAGUUUCGGCGGUUGGGGAUGGACUCGCGGCUUAUCAGCUUGUUGGUGGGGUAGUGGCUUACCAAGGCUUUGACGGGUAGCCGGCCUGAGAGGGUGACCGGCGACAUUGGGACUGAGAUACGGCCCAGACUCCUACGGGAGGCAGCAGUGGGGAAUAUUGCACAAUGGGCGGAAGCCUGAUGCAGCAACGCCGCGUGCGGGAUGACGGCCUUCGGGUUGUAAACCGCUUUCGCCUGUGACGAAGCGUGAGUGACGGUAAUGGGUAAAGAAGCACCGGCUAACUACGUG
RNAcentral lists this ribosomal RNA (468 nucleotides) under uncultured bacterium. RNAcentral's name for it is "partial 16S ribosomal RNA". It matches the Rfam family "Bacterial small subunit ribosomal RNA", at positions 28 to 507 of the family's 1533-position model. The record is from RNAcentral.